Long non-coding RNA from Camellia sinensis, 944 nucleotides. RefSeq lists it as uncharacterized. Lineage: Eukaryota; Viridiplantae; Streptophyta; Magnoliopsida; Ericales; Theaceae. The record is from RefSeq and is a predicted model, not a curated record.
AGCAAAAGCAGCCAAAACCCUCACAAUUUGAUCAUCGUUCAAAAUCCCCAUUACCAUCAUCGCCGUCUUCACUCUCAGAUUAUCACCACACUUCACAAGCUCCUCCAUCACCGAUCUCAGCCUCUCGAUCAGUAAUUCCACGUGAUUCGCAUCUCCGUUCACCGCCGUCCUCGCCGCCUCCAUCAACCCUAGCGUCACCAUCCUCGCUUGAACCUUAACCACCUCCUCCUCCAAUUCCCUCUCUUAUUCUCUUACUUCUGCCGCCAAUCUUUCCAAUCUCCUCAUCUGCACCUUCGAUAGAUCCACCAUGUACUUCUCUACGAGUUGAAAAACGAGUCCUGGUUUGAACCCUGCGAUCCAGAGGAACGAGCGCUCCAGUGAGUUCAAUCAAGUCAGGGACAAACGAGAUUUAAAAAAUGGCUUCUUCUUCUAACAAUAACAAAAUAAGAUUACAACCGAGGUUGUGCAAUUGUGGAAAAACCGCUGCCAUAUAUAUUGUAAGAACCAAUGAGAAUGGAAAUCAAGGGCGUUUGUUCUUUGUUUGCCCGUCAAAAUAUAGUAACACUCCCACUCCCCAUUGCAAUUAGUUCAAGUUCGUGGAUGAAGAUGAUGAAGACGUUACGUCCAUAAUCCGUUCCAACACUCGAGCUUGUGAUGCUAUAACAGUAGAAGAUUUUAAUGAUGUAAGGACGAGGCUUGAUGACAUGGAAAAUGACUAUGGUCGAAGGCUUGAAAGGAUGGAAAAUAAUAUCAAAGCGAUGGUGUAUUUCAUUGUAUUUUCUAUCAUUUUGUACUUUAUGAUGUAACUUUUGUACUUUAUUGUAUUUUGGAAAAUUGAAUGGAAGGUUCUACCAUUUUGGGUUUUAUUGUACUUCAUGAUGUAACUUAUGUUUAUGGAAUGAAUUUUAAUGUUGAACUUAGAACUGCCAUUACUUCAUUAUGGA